Eriocheir sinensis (Chinese mitten crab) is the source of this 2106-nucleotide long non-coding RNA. RefSeq lists it as uncharacterized. The transcript is spliced from 3 exons. NCBI's taxonomy places the organism in Eukaryota, Metazoa, Arthropoda, Malacostraca, Decapoda, Varunidae. The record is from RefSeq and is a predicted model, not a curated record.
AAUAAAAGAUAAAAUAAGAGAAAAUAACAAACAAGACAGACAGACAAACAGGCAAACAAACAAAGACAGACAGACACAGACAUUAUUUAGUGUCCGGGGUGACGGGGCAGGGGCGGGCACAGCAGGCGGGGAGCAGCACCGCCAUGCUUCACCCCGCGCUCACACCGGAAGCUUUAACGUGCUGACCCUCCCACCGAUCACAUUGCUGGUUAACUUAUAUACUGGGCGGUGGUUGGUGACCCUUACGUGGCGACAGGGAACGCUUUGGGUACAUUCAGGUGUUAGGCGAGGCAAGGCAGGUGACAGGUCUGGCGGUAAGAAGCAAUAGGUAUCGAAUCGGGUUCCCUCAGGUGAUGUAAGGUGAGGCUUCGCAGGGCAGGUAAGGUGACAGGUCUGGAUAUAGUGUUAAGUAGCGACAGGUAACGAUUCGGGUUUGUUUCGGUGAUGUUAGUUGACGCAGGGCAGGUAAGGUGAUGUUAGGUGACGCAGGGCAGGUAAGGUGACAGGUUUGGGUAUAGAGUUCUUACGUGGCGGCAGGUAACGAUUUGGGUUCCUUCAGGUGAUGUUAGUAAAGGCUUCGCAGGUAAGGUAGGGUGACAAGUCUGGGGGAUGUUUUGUGUUUAAAUAGCAAGAGGUAACAAUUUGGGUUCCUUCAGGUGAUGUUAGUGAGUCAGGUGAGGUGACAGGUUUGGGUAUAGUGUUGGUAAGUAGAAAUAGGUAACGAUUUGGGUUCCUUCAGGUGAUGUUAGUGAGUCAGGUAAGGUGACAGGUUUGGGUAUAGUGUUCUUACGUAGCGACAGGUAACGAUCGGGUUUGUUUAGAUGUUAGGUGAGGCAGGUAAGGUGAGGUGACAGGUCUGGCAGAUGUCUUGUCUUUACUUGCCACUGUGAAGGAGGAGGAGGAGGAGGAGGCGGCGUGACAUCAUAAGCAAGUCUUCAAUUAAUGCAGUCAGUCAAAACCCACUCGAAAAACAACUCAUCUCUCCAUUAUGAAUUAAAUUGUUCAGCUUUGCCUUUUUCUUCUUACAAGUUAAAUUCUUCCUUGUCUUCUACUUCUUUAUUUAUUUUUAUUUUUCAUCUUCUUGGUUGGUAAUUGGGCAUCUCUGUAAAUCUGCACUUUUCGAUUAUGGUACUAUUUUUUUGUAAUCCAUUUUUCUAUAUGACUCUGAGCGAAAGGAAAAGUAAAGUAGGGGGCUUACGCUAAAGCUGCGCGUGGCCUCGGUGCUCAUCUCCGUCGCACUGGCCCUUGAGCCUGUGGUAGGUGAGAGUCCAUCACCCCGGGGCACAGGGCAGGUGUGACAUCCGGGUUACCAACGAUUACCAUCCCCAGGUGUUCCCAGGUACCCAUACAUCGACCAGCCGGAAAGGGAGGAUGAACAGCUGGGUGGGCUAAACGCAGGCUACCAGGCCGGGAUUCGAACCUAGGCCCGCGCGGAUUCGUAGCUAGGCACGCUAACCACUGCACUAUUAUUAUUAUUAUUAUUAUUAUUAUUAUUAUUAUUAUUAUCAUUACUAUUAUUAUUAUUAUUAUUAGUCGUACUGAACCUAUACCAGCCCUUUCCCUUCCUCCGCCCCGGCCGGCACGAGCAGCGGGGAGGGACAAGGAGGCGGGCGGCAGGUGGGGGACAUCGGGACGGCGGGCACGUCACCACAAAGCGCCUCUCAUCUCCUUGCGGCCAUGACGUCAGCCCAGGCCAGGAGGAGCCGCGCUGCUCUUCAACACCACAACCGCACGACCCCCGAUGCUCACUUCCCGACCCAUUCUAAAACGUUUCACGGCCCACACACUAACCCACAUUAGAGGAGACUUCCGUAGAGGUUGUGUUAGUGUUUCCAUGGGUAGUUUUGUGAGCCUACUGAUAGUCUGACAAGGCUUUUGCACCAUGAACGUGAAAAAAAAACAUUAAAGAGAACAAGACUAUUCUCCUGUGCCAUGAACUUUAAAAAAAAUAAAAACACAUAAGAGAACCUGACUGCUCUUCUUUUUGGUCUUUGCAAACACACACACACACACACACACACACACACACACACACACACACACACACACACACACACAGAUAGAUAAUAGCGCAAUUAGAUACUCGUAGAUUGAAAGUUAGAGAGA